GCCCGGGUGGCUUAGCUGGACAUAGCGCCGCACUCAUAGCAUGCGGAGAUCGUGGGUUCGGAGCCCACCCCGGGCA
Molecule: transfer RNA, 76 nt
Filed under: Haloferax larsenii
Lineage: Archaea; Methanobacteriati; Methanobacteriota; Halobacteria; Halobacteriales; Haloferacaceae
Also listed under: 6 other names
Description: tRNA_Met_CAT
Source: RNAcentral